Molecule: long non-coding RNA, 687 nt
Organism: Rhineura floridana
Lineage: Eukaryota; Metazoa; Chordata; Lepidosauria; Squamata; Rhineuridae
Exons: 3
Source: RefSeq, a predicted model, not a curated record
GGACAAUUGGAAGAGACAAACCUUUAGUUGAUAAAAACAAGGCCCUGAAGACGUGGCUAUUCCAGCAAGCCUUUGAGGUCAUUGGAAAACCACAGGGAAGGGGGAAUGGAAUGGAGUAUCUGGCAUGGCAAAGAAGGGAUGGUCCAAGCCUCAGCCGAAGACACUCCUGCCAUCCUGGGUCAAGGUGCCUAGUUUCCAAGAAAUCCCUGCUUCAGUUCAAGGACCUUCAGAGAGAUCCUGCUGCAACUCGGAAAACCAAUAUAUUUGUCCCAAAGUGGCCCUGAUCCAGUUCUUGAACUGGGGUUUGUUCAAAUAUUUUGCACACCCAUAAUAUAUGAUGGAUUGAUACAGCUGCCUGCAUUCUUCAACUCUCUUUGGAGGCAGAGAUAUGAGCUUCACUGUUUCAAAAUUUUACCGCUGCACCACUGGUGAUAACUGUACCCAACCUCUGGAACUGCUUUGUGGAAGCCCAUCUGGCUCCUUCACCUUUUCAGCAUGCUGUGAAGACAAUAUUGUUUAAUAUUGUUUAGGCUUUUAAGAGUGUGAUGAAUUGAAUAUGUCCCAAUGUUGCUUAUUUGAAUGUUCUCUCUGCAAGAGCUGCUCAUUAGGAUUUCUGCUGUUUCUAUUAUGAUUUUUUUCCCACUACUGAGAUAUUUUAGUGCAUUUUCAUUUUUUAAAUAUUCUGUU